Molecule: long non-coding RNA, 2182 nt
Filed under: Sus scrofa (pig)
Lineage: Eukaryota; Metazoa; Chordata; Mammalia; Artiodactyla; Suidae
Description: lncRNA (ENSSSCG00030063593.1)
Source: RNAcentral
GGUUGAGCUCCUCCCAUUUCUGACUUCUGAGUCACAGCAAGAACCCUCCAGAAAUCCUCUCCCAGUGAAUGAUUAUGAGACACAAUCAUUUUGAAGCAGCCGCUGAAUAAGGUAAACUCAUUAAUGAGGACUCCAGAAGAAAUGAUGAGUAUUAAGUGUAUCUUCAUUCCACUUCUAGCACUGGCCCUUCCAGGGCGUGUGAAAGCAGACUGGAUCAGACCCCAGGAGACUAGAGUAUCUGGAAUGGAGGGAAAGACUGUGAGCCUCCUUUGUAACUAUUACACUUCAUAUACGGGCUACAUUGAUCUCUUUUGGUAUCGACAGUAUCCAAAUCAGGCACCAGAAUAUAUUCUCUACAGAGGGUGGGGAUACUCUGGAAAAGGAUUUGCCAGUUUUGCCACGGAAAAGUUUUAUUCAGAGAACACAGCAAAUACAACAAUCUUGUACAUCAGGAAGGUGGUGCCUGCAGAUGCUGCCCUGUAUCACUGCGCUCUGAGGAGGCACAGAGAGGCGACUGCAUAGGGCUGCCGUACAAGAACAGCAGCACACAGGAGGAAGCAGAAGGCAGCACACAAAACCACACUGAACUGUUUUCUUCUGCAAGACCUCAUGGGCACUUAGAGAUCUUGAACCAGGAAAAUUCUGCUCUAACUGUAUAAUAGCUGUUUAGUUGUAGGCACAUAGCUUAAGCUUUUGGAAUUCUCAUUUCCCUACAUUAGAGCUAAUAAUUUAAGCUAUGAGGCAUGGUCUUGAACCCUUGGGUUAAGUGCCUGGCAUCUCCUGGGUGCUCAGCAAAUGGACUUUUUGUCUUUUUCUCAGUAACUAUUUGGCCUCAUAGGAUCUUUCUAUCAAUAUCUCUUUUUUAUGCCACACUGGCAAGAAAAAUAGUAAUAAUAAAAAAUUAAAACCCUGAAAACACAGCUCCAGCACCCAGAGGCGGCUUCUUUCCCAGGGGUCCCGUGUAAACACGCCAGGCAUGGAUGUACACAGUUAGCAAGUCCAACCCUUACAGAACAAAAGGGGCCUGACACGCAUCCCUGAGCUCAUGGCCACGGGCAGUUCGGUAUUUCUCAAGCUGUGAACAGGAACAGGAGCUAGUUCCUCACAAGACCAAAGGGAAGAGGAGGAGGAGGUUUGGCAUUAGGUGGUGGAUGAGGAGGAAGACACUGCUUGAGUGGCCAUCACCAGGCUAUUGUGUCAGCUCUUACUUUUCCAGGUGGAGACGGGAGGCCAUGUGAGUGAGUGGAAUCCUCGCACAGGAUGCUUGAGCCUGAGGGCACCUGCACCUGCUAUGAUGGUUCAAACCACACUUCUAACUGACUACUACCAUCCAAUCCUUCUCUGGGCAAAGCCUCGAGUUUUUGUUUGCACAGGUGUUGGUUGGGAUGGAAAAGACAAAGGAAGAUUUAGAGCCUUAUUCAGUAUACAGUGUGUCUGCCCUGGCAGCCUUCAGCUUUCAGGCUGCAAACCUUGAGCUCCUGCACUUCAUGGUGAAACUUAUAUCAGCCCCACUGAGGCUGGAUAAGUGCACUAGCCAUUAGCCAUGAAGAAGGACUUGGAAAUAAGAGAGCGAAUCAGAUUUAUUUAUUUAUUUAUUUAUUUAUUUUUUGCUUUUUAGGGCUGCACUGAAGGCAUAUGGAAGUUCCCGGGCUAGGGGUCUAAUCAGAGUUACAGCUGCUGGCCUCCGCCACAGUCACAGCAAUGCAGGAUCCCAGCCGGUCUGCAACCUACACCACAGUGCAGCACCACACCAUACCACGGCAACAAUGGAUCCUUAACCCAACGAGUGAGGCCAGGAAUCAAACCUGCAACUUCGUGGUUCCUAGUCAGAUUCGUUUCCACUGUGCCCCAAUGGGAAUUCCCCAGGUUUUUUUUUUGGGGGGGGGGUUGUUUGUUUGUUUUAAUGUUUCCUUUUACAAAAAGAAGCUUGAGUUUUAAAAGGUUAAGAAAUUCUGUGGUUAGAAAAUAAUUUGUAGAGAUCUGCUUAAAGCUAUCUUCUUUAAAAAACUGAGCUCUGAGACUAUUGCUCAAGAAGGUGUAAAAGAAUUUAAGGAGAGUAAGCCCUCUUCACUUCAGCUUGUGGAAAAUUGUUCUUAGUGUACUCUGUUGGUGACAAUACAACGUAUUGGUAUGUCUUUACAUAGUGAGCAACUUGGAAAGGGAUCCCAAGAUUCAUUUAAAU